GAUGAACGCUGGCGGCGUGCCUAACACAUGCAAGUCGAACGAACAGACUAUUAUCUUUUUCUUCUGACGUUAGCGUCUGGCGGGUGAGUAACGCAUGGAUAAGCUACCUAUAAGUCUUGGGUCACUUCGAGAAGCCUGAGCUAAUACAACAUCAUAUAAUGCACCGCAUGCUUCAAUAGUCAAAGACUGCUUUGCUGUCACUUCUAGAUGUAUCCGUGCCGCAUUAGUUAGUUGGUAAGGUAACGGCAUACCAAGGCCACGAUGCGUAGCAGACAUGAGAGGGUGAUCGGCCAAACGGGAAGUGAGACACGGUCCAGACUCCUACGGGAGGCAGCAGUAGGGAAUCUUACGCAAUGGGCGAAAGCAUGAUGGAGCAACACCGCGUGAGUGAUGAAGGUCUUCGGAUCGUAAAGCGCUGUUAUUAGGGAAGAAGAAAAGCGUAAGUAACAAUGAAGGUCUUGACGGUACCUAAUGAGAAAGCAACGGCUAACUACGUG
Molecule: ribosomal RNA, 497 nt
Filed under: uncultured bacterium
Lineage: Bacteria
Description: partial 16S ribosomal RNA
Rfam family: Bacterial small subunit ribosomal RNA
Source: RNAcentral